AGUGAACGCUGGCGGUAGGCCUAACACAUGCAAGUCGAACGGCAGCACAGGAGAGCUUGCUCUCUGGGUGGCGAGUGGCGGACGGGUGAGGAAUACAUCGGAAUCUACUCUGUCGUGGGGGAUAACGUAGGGAAACUUACGCUAAUACCGCAUACGACCUACGGGUGAAAGCAGGGGAUCUUCGGACCUUGCGCGAUUGAAUGAGCCGAUGUCGGAUUAGCUAGUUGGCGGGGUAAAGGCCCACCAAGGCGACGAUCCGUAGCUGGUCUGAGGGGAUGAUCAGCCAAACUGGAACUGGGACACGGUCCAGACUCCUACGGGAGGCAGCAGUGGGGAAUAUUGGACAAUGGGCGCAAGCCUGAUCCAGCCAUACCGCGUGGGUGAAGAAGGCCUUCGGGUUGUAAAGCCCUUUUGUUGGGAAAGAAAUCCAGCUGGCUAAUACCCGGUUGGGAUGACGGUACCCAAAGAAUAAGCACCGGCUAACUUCGCGCCAGCCGCCGCGGUAA
RNAcentral lists this ribosomal RNA (506 nucleotides) under uncultured bacterium. Its description in RNAcentral is "partial 16S ribosomal RNA". It matches the Rfam family "Bacterial small subunit ribosomal RNA", at positions 29 to 523 of the family's 1533-position model. The record is from RNAcentral.